GCCAGGCAUGGUGGUGCAUGCCUGUAAUCUAAGUGGCUCCGGAGGCUGAGGUAGGAGGAUUGAAAGUUUUGAUAGCCUUAUCAAAAGCAAGGUGCUAAGCAACUCAGUGAGGCCCUGUCUCUA
RNAcentral lists this small RNA (123 nucleotides) under Marmota monax (woodchuck). Lineage: Eukaryota; Metazoa; Chordata; Mammalia; Rodentia; Sciuridae. The record is from RNAcentral.